AGAUGCGAUCAUACCAGCACUAAAGCACCAGAUCCCAUCAAAACUCCGAAGUUAAGCGUGCUUGGGCGAGAGUAGUACUAGGAUGGGUGACCUCCUGGGAAGUCCUCGUGUUGCAUUCC
This 119-nucleotide ribosomal RNA is filed under the name Hordeum vulgare subsp. vulgare (domesticated barley). Lineage: Eukaryota; Viridiplantae; Streptophyta; Magnoliopsida; Poales; Poaceae. The record is from RNAcentral.